This 528-nucleotide ribosomal RNA is filed under the name Neocordana musae. RNAcentral's name for it is "eukaryotic LSU rRNA". The stretch from base 127 to 280 matches the Rfam family "5.8S ribosomal RNA". Lineage: Eukaryota; Fungi; Ascomycota; Sordariomycetes; Magnaporthales; Pyriculariaceae. The record is from RNAcentral.
UGCAACUCCAACCCUUUGUGAACCACAACCUCCAGUCGUUGCUUCGGCGGGCCCGCCCGCCGGAGGUUCAAACAAACUCAUGUUUUCCGAGUACGUCUUCUGAGCAAACAAGAAAAAAUAAAUCAAAACUUUCAACAACGGAUCUCUUGGCUCUGGCAUCGAUGAAGAACGCAGCGAAAUGCGAUAAGUAAUGUGAAUUGCAGAAUUCAGUGAAUCAUCGAAUCUUUGAACGCACAUUGCGCCCGCCGGUAUUCCGGCGGGCAUGCCUGUCCGAGCGUCAUUUCAACCCUCAAGCCCGCUUCGGCUUGGUGUUGGGGCGCCCGGGGCUCCCAGCGGGCCCCGGGGCCCCCAAGUUCAUCGGCGGGCUCGUCGGAACCCUGAGCGUAGUAGCAAGGCCCUAAGAAGCCGAACCCCCUCGCUCGGCCCGUCCCGGCGUGCACUCCAGCCGCUAAAGAGACCCCAACGGGAACGAUAAAGGUUGACCUCGGAUCAGGUAGGAAUACCCGCUGAACUUAAGCAUAUCAAUAA